This is a long non-coding RNA of Hemicordylus capensis (graceful crag lizard), 8125 nucleotides long. RefSeq lists it as uncharacterized. The transcript has 4 exons. The record is from RefSeq and is a predicted model, not a curated record. NCBI's taxonomy places the organism in Eukaryota, Metazoa, Chordata, Lepidosauria, Squamata, Cordylidae.
UUAUGCCCAGCCUUGGACUUUGCCUCAACAAUAAUAGGAAUAGUUUCUGAGGGAAGGCUGUCUUCAGGACAGUGCAAGGAAGGGCUUUAUGCCCAGCCUUGGACUUUACCUCAACAAUAAUAGGAAUAGUUUCUGAGGGAAGGCUGUCUUCAGGACAGUGCAAAAAAGGGCUUUAUGCCCAGCCUUGGACUUUACCUCAACAAUAAUAGGAAUAGUUUCUGAGGGAAGGCUGUCUUCAGGACAUUGCAAAAAAGGGCUUUAUGCCCAGCCUUGGACUUUGCCUCAACAAUAAUAGGAAUAGUUUCUGAGGGAAGGCUGUCUUCAGGACAGUGCAAAGGAGUUUACCUCAACAAUAAUAGGAAUAGUUUCUGAGGGAAGGCUGUCUUCAGGACAGUGCAAAAAAGGGCUUUAUGCCCAGCCUUGGACUUUGCCUCAACAAUAAUAGGAAUAGUUUCUGAGGGAAGGCUGUCUUCAGGACAGUGCAAGGAAAGGCUUUAUGCCCAGCCUUGGACUUUACCUCAACAAUAAUAGGAAUAGUUUCUGAGGGAAGGCUGUCUUCAGGACAGUGCAAAAAAGGGCUUUAUGCCCAGCCUUGGACUUUGCCUCAACAAUAAUAGGAAUAGUUUCUGAGGGAAGGCUGUCUUCAGGACAGUGCAAGGAAAGGCUUUAUGCCCAGCCUUGGACUUUACCUCAACAAUAAUAGGAAUAGUUUCUGAGGGAAGGCUGUCUUCAGGACAGUGCAAAAAAGGGCUUUAUGCCCAGCCUUGGACUUUGCCUCAACAAUAAUAGGAAUAGUUUCUGAGGGAAGGCUGUCUUCAGGACAGUGCAAGGAAGGGCUUUAUGCCCAGCCUUGGACUUUGCCUCAACAAUAAUAGGAAUAGUUUCUGAGGGAAGGCUGUCUUCAGGACAGUGCAAGGAAAGGCUUUAUGCCCAGCCUUGGACUUUACCUCAACAAUAAUAGGAAUAGUUUCUGAGGGAAGGCUGUCUUCAGGACAUUGCAAAAAAGGGCUUUAUGCCCAGCCUUGGACUUUGCCUCAACAAUAAUAGGAAUAGUUUCUGAGGGAAGGCUGUCUUCAGGACAGUGCAAAGGAGUUUACCUCAACAAUAAUAGGAAUAGUUUCUGAGGGAAGGCUGUCUUCAGGACAGUGCAAAAAAGGGCUUUAUGCCCAGCCUUGGACUUUGCCUCAACAAUAAUAGGAAUAGUUUCUGAGGGAAGGCUGUCUUCAGGACAGUGCAAGGAAAGGCUUUAUGCCCAGCCUUGGACUUUACCUCAACAAUAAUAGGAAUAGUUUCUGAGGGAAGGCUGUCUUCAGGACAGUGCAAAAAAGGGCUUUAUGCCCAGCCUUGGACUUUGCCUCAACAAUAAUAGGAAUAGUUUCUGAGGGAAGGCUGUCUUCAGGACAGUGCAAGGAAAGGCUUUAUGCCCAGCCUUGGACUUUACCUCAACAAUAAUAGGAAUAGUUUCUGAGGGAAGGCUGUCUUCAGGACAGUGCAAAAAAGGGCUUUAUGCCCAGCCUUGGACUUUGCCUCAACAAUAAUAGGAAUAGUUUCUGAGGGAAGGCUGUCUUCAGGACAGUGCAAGGAAGGGCUUUAUGCCCAGCCUUGGACUUUGCCUCAACAAUAAUAGGAAUAGUUUCUGAGGGAAGGCUGUCUUCAGGACAGUGCAAGGAAAGGCUUUAUGCCCAGCCUUGGACUUUACCUCAACAAUAAUAGGAAUAGUUUCUGAGGGAAGGCUGUCUUCAGGACAGUGCAAAAAAGGGCUUUAUGCCCAGCCUUGGACUUUGCCUCAACAAUAAUAGGAAUAGUUUCUGAGGGAAGGCUGUCUUCAGGACAGUGCAAAAAAGGGCUUUAUGCCCAGCCUUGGACUUUGCCUCAACAAUAAUAGGAAUAGUUUCUGAGGGAAGGCUGUCUUCAGGACAGUGCAAGGAAAGGCUUUAUGCCCAGCCUUGGACUUUACCUCAACAAUAAUAGGAAUAGUUUCUGAGGGAAGGCUGUCUUCAGGACAGUGCAAAAAAGGGCUUUAUGCCCAGCCUUGGACUUUGCCUCAACAAUAAUAGGAAUAGUUUCUGAGGGAAGGCUGUCUUCAGGACAGUGCAAGGAAAGGCUUUAUGCCCAGCCUUGGACUUUACCUCAACAAUAAUAGGAAUAGUUUCUGAGGGAAGGCUGUCUUCAGGACAGUGCAAAAAAGGGCUUUAUGCCCAGCCUUGGACUUUGCCUCAACAAUAAUAGGAAUAGUUUCUGAGGGAAGGCUGUCUUCAGGACAGUGCAAAAAAGGGCUUUAUGCCCAGCCUUGGACUUUACCUCAACAAUAAUAGGAAUAGUUUCUGAGGGAAGGCUGUCUUCAGGACAGUGCAAAAAAGGGCUUUAUGCCCAGCCUUGGACUUUGCCUCAACAAUAAUAGGAAUAGUUUCUGAGGGAAGGCUGUCUUCAGGACAGUGCAAGGAAGGGCUCUAUGCCCAGACUUGGACUUUACCUCACUAGAAUAAUAAUCUCUGUUGCCUCAGGAAAAGGAGGAAACCACUUAAGCCAUGCUACUCUAUCACAAGAAAACUUUUUGUGAAAAUGUGGGCUUCAAGCCCCCUGCUAAAAAACAGUCUCUGAGGGGAAAUGGAAUUUCUAAGUGGGGAGUUCACCUCUCUGCUUGUGUUUCAUCUUGCCAAAAAAACCUCAACUCCCCUCUGAGGAUGCUGCAGCCGUGCUGACGUGUACAAAAGCCCUGCCACCUCAUUGCCCACAUUUAUCGCAUCUUGUCUGCAGAGGGUAAAACGCGACAGAUUCUCCCCGUCCUCAGAACGCUGGGGCGCCACAGUCUUCUGCAUCACAGUGAAAACCUGUCCACUAUUAGAGCGUUCUUUCUCUCUGCAUCCUAAUGUUAUAACUAUGGACAGCGUAGGGCAGGACUUCUGAGCGCAACGGCACAGGGGCUGUAGCAGAGAAUUCUGUGAGGCCAGGAGCUGUGUAACUACAGACUGGGCCAUUUUUGUCUGAGAAAACUCAGUGCUAUUUGAGGCUGUCAAAAGAAACCUGAGACUUUUUUAUUCUCCCGACAGCUGUGUGUUAGGCAGCAUAACUCCUAAGAUAGUGGCUGGCUUGAAUGGAACACCCUUCAUGCACGUUAGAAGCUUCAGGCUUCUAGAUCUGCCAACACCUUUCUGAGGCAGCAUGAUCUCUAACUUUCCAGUGGGCUUGAAUGGAACAUGCUUCAUGCAUGUGGGAAGCUUCAGGCUUCUAUAUUCUCCCAACUGAAGAGAGAAUUCUCUUCUUAGCCUCUCAAAUUUGGUUUAAUGAGUUAUUAGUUUUUAUCUUUUUAUAUCUGUGAAUUGCAACAGCCAUCUAGGUGAGGCAGUAUAAAAACCUAAUACAUAACACAGCUGUAGGAGGCAGCACAGUCUCUAAUAUGGUGGCUGGCUUGUAAGGAAGACGCUUCAUGUAUGUUAGAAAAAUUAGACAUCUUUAUAAUUCUGAUAGUCUUAUGAGGCAGCAUCUCCGAUUUAGUGGCUGACCUGAAUGAAUACACUUCAUGUGUGUUCUGUUCUACCCCCUCAACAACGCUUUGUGGCAGCCUUGGCAACAAGAAAUAGAAUCAGCGCAUGUGUCCAUUAACUACUAUGCCUGAGUAGUGCUUUUGGAAUAUUUUAUCUUUCCAAGAAACCUGAGUGACAGGUAACUCUCAAAAACAGAGACUGGAGCAACAAAAAAAGGAAACACAGGAUUUAGGACAAAAUAUACUAGAAAAAGAAUCCCUAGCUGCACCAUUGCAUUUUGUGAUAAUGCUUUUUAUAAGAGGGCUGAAGAAUGUAUACCAAAAAUGUUUAUUCAAUAUUUAUUAGACAAUGAAAAUUACAAUCUGAAAAAAAACAAAGAACCGGGGAAGGAAUUUAGGCAAAAUUCCAAUAAGAUUAGACUGUGAAUUGCCCUUACUUCAGAAUAAAUGAUACAUCUUGACAACGUAUCCUCUUGACAACUCAUCAUUGCGAAUUUGGCAAGAAGAAACCGAGUUGGCCCACGUGUCCCAAUGAGUUCUGUGCCCGAGUUUGCUUCUGGACCGUUUUCUCCUCCCAAGAGGCCUACCUGCCAGACUUCAAGAACCAAUGAAAGGAGGCAACGUCACAGAAGCCAAGAAGACAUGAAAGCAGCCAACCACACACAGACACACACACACACGAGAAGCGUCAGGCUUCCUUAUUGUCCCAAGAAUACUAAAUGUUCUCUGGGCAGCUCACAACACAACAUGGCAAAACAUACAAUACACACACCUACAACAUGACAGACAAAGCACACACACACACACACACACACACACGAUAAGCGUCAGGCUUCCUUAUUGUCCCAAGAAUACUAAAUGUUAUCUGGGCAGCUCACAACACAACAUGGCAAAACAUCCAAUAAACACACCUACAACAUGACAGACAAAGCACAACACAAAACAGCUGUGGUAGGGAGCAUGACCUCUAAAAUAGUGACUUCCUGUAAUGGAACAUGCUUCAUGCAUGUUAGAAGCUGCAGGCUUUAUUCUCCCAAACAACUAUGAGGGACUACAGACACUCUAAGGUGGCGGCUGCCUUUAAUAGAAUACGCUUCAUGCGUGUUCCAUUGUAUCCUCUUGACAACACAUCAUAGCAAAUUUGGCAAGAAGAAACCGAGUCGGCCCACAUGUCCCAAUGACUUCCAUGCCCAAGUUUGCUUCUGGACCGUUUUCUCCUGCCAAGAGGCCUGCCUGGCAGAUUUCUUUCCUCCAGACUCCAGGAAAGAAGUAAAGGAGUCUCAAGAGAGAAUGAGAAGAAGCAACAACAUGCAAUAUAAGCCAAACCAAGUGCUGCAGAAGUCAAGCCCUAGAAGACACUGGAUAUAGGGGCUCUCCACAGGAAUCUUUAUUCUCCCUCUUUCUUUAUUCUUCCACCAGCUUUGUCAGGCAUCAUCAUCUGAAAUGGUGGCUGUCCUGAAUUUAACAUCCUUCUCACGUGUUGGAAGCUUCAGGCUUCUAUAUUCUCUUGAUGGAUUUGUUGGGCAGUGUCAUCUCUAAGAUGGUGGCUGUCUUGAAUGGAACAUGCUUCAUGCGUGUUCCAUUCUGUCCCCUGAGCAAUGGUUUGGCAAGAAGAAACAGAAUUGGUGCACCUUUCUCAAGGACCUCCAUGCCCUAGUGGUGAUGUUGAAACGUUUUAUUAUUAUCCUAUUAUCCAGUAUUCAAUCCUUAGCAACCUCCUAAGGUUAUAAGUAAAUAAGAUAAGAAUUCAAUAUUUAACACAAUUCAAAAUAAAUGACAUAACUUGCUCUUUUCCAACAGAUUUCAGGAAAGAAUGAAAGAACGCAAUGACACACAAGCCAAGGAAGAACAGCAUGCAUCUCAGGCAGGAACGGAAGAAGGUAGCAAGAGAAGUCAGCCUUGGGGCUGCAGAACUCAAGGCCCAGAAAUCACUAAAUUUCAGGGGUUGCCAACAGAAGCUUCAGGUUUCUUUAUUUUUUCAACAGCAGUGGGAGGCAGCAUAAACUCUAAGAUUGUGGCUCUCUUGAAUUGAACAUGCUUGAUGAGGGUUGCUUUCUGUCUCAGUAAGCUUUUGCGGUAAGUUUUGGCACAAAGAAAGAAGAGUGGGCACAUGUUUCCUUACAACUUCCAUGCCCAGGUGCUGACGUUUGAAUGAAGCGGCCUCUGUGAUAGGUAAGGCUCAGAGACAGAGAUUGGACCAAGGUGAAGAGCACACAAGUGAACAAAAAGAGAACUCUCAGGGUAUAAGGGCUGCCUAGUGUAAAAAUGGGUUUAAAAUGGCCCACAAUUGAAAAUAAAAGUUGUAUCUUGUUCUUUCCUAACAGAUUUCAAGCAACAGUGCAAGGAGGCUACAAAAGUCAAGCCAGGCUCAACCGAUCUCGUUUGUCAUGAGGAAGAACUUCAUUAAAAAAAACCCUGACAAAUCUCUAAGACAGUGGCUCAUAUGAAGAGGAACAUGCUUCAUGCAUAUUGCAUUCUAUCCUCAGAAAGUUCUGUGAAACCCGGGGCUAUGUCACUCAAGGCUACUGGCUUGAGUUCCUUCAGUCUCUAAAAAUCGUGAAUCAAGCUGUAGAACUGAUGCUUCAUGUGUGUUCUCCAAACAGCUUUGUGGACCAUCAUGAUCUCUGAAAUGGUGGCUGGCUUGCAAGGAAAGGAACAUGCUUUAUGUGUGUUCCAUCUUAUCUUCCCAAGUACAUUUUGCAGCAUGCCUGGCAGGAAGAAAGAGAGUUCGUGCACAUUUCACAGUGAUCUCCAUUCCUGAGUGGUGAUUUUGGUUCAAAGAUAGAGUUAAAAAGAUGGUGUGCCUGAAAAACGGAGACAGUACCAAGGUAAAGAAAGCCCAACCAACAAAAAGGGAACUCUCAGGGUAUAACGGAAAGGUGUACCAAUGCCUUAUAUGAUGAGGCUCCUCAUCAGGACUGAAGAAUAUAUACAAGAUCGAUAUAGUCAGUGGAUGACAAGCAGACUAACUUCCUCAAUAAUACCACUCAUGAGUAAAAUUUCAAGAAAGAAUGAAAGGAGGCAACAAUGCAGAAGCCAUGUCAAGCAAAACUUUGUGAGCCCUUUUGGGUCAAAGAGCCCUCUUCUUUCCUUACAUAAAUCACUCUGAGAACACCUUUUUGAAAAGUGGCGUAUAAAUAUUUGUAAUCAUAAUAAUAAUUGUGCUAUCAGUUUAAGGCUCUUUUUCAGAUAAAUAUCUAAGACACUGGCUGUAACCAGAGGCUUCAAGCACGAGUUUCUUACUUGCUUGAUCUUCACAGAGCCCUGGGAGGUAAGUUAGUUUGGAAUAUGCUUUGCUGACAAACUGUUAAUGCCUAAUAAAGAAAGAAAUAUACAAACAAUAUUUCUAUCCUACACAUUCAGCACACUGCUGCUAAACCUAUCACUUCUAAAUACAACCCUGUUCUACUAAAUGGAAGGAAAAAACACCUGAAACACUAAAUGCAAAAUAAAAUAAAAUAAGAAAUGAACCCACUACUAAAUGCAAAAGACUCCCAACCUCGCUAAUAAAUGCAAAACACAGAUAAGCACAAUAAAAAGAAUUAAACAAGAACCACAGAUAAAAUAGAAAUAACACAACAGCCAGGAUUAAAAACAUUAAAACGGGAAACCCAGUUACAAGCACCAUUAAAAUUACAAGAAAAUUACUGUAUUUGAAACUGAGAUUAGAGGAAAAGUAGAAUUUUUCUUUGGGCAAAUUUUCUGAGAUGGCUGCUUUGCGUGAGUAGGUAUAUUUUCAGUGGAUCUGAAAAAAUAUCUUUGUAAUGUUUGGAACUAACACUAAUAUUUAACACUUGCACAUUUGAGGAUAUUUUGUGGUGCAUUUUGAAUGUUGAUACAUUUAUCAGUUCCAAAGAAGAGAGAGUAAAAAAGUGUCUUCAACUUUUUUUUUUACUCCAGCAGGUUGAUCUAAAUGGAUUGUUAUGUGGAGUAUGAAUUCCUCAGAAUUCAAAAUCAAAAGUGUAUAAAAAUGACUAAUGUCAAAGAGGUAUUUCAGCCAUGUUGAAAUUUUCACCCCAGCAGCUAGCUUUUACCUGGACUGCCAUGUAGAUUGUGGGUGAAUCCCCACUUAGGAGGAUAUUGCAAGAAAUCAGAAGUGUAUAAAAAUGGCUAAUGUCAAAGAGGUAUGUAUUCAUGUUUAUAUCUUUUUUCCAGAUGUUCUUUUCCCCUUGCAGGUUGGUUUAUAUGCAUUGCUAUGUAGACUGGGGAUGAAUUUAGAUUUCAUGUGAAUAACCUACCCCGGAGGGCAGACUGUUUUAAAAUGCUUGUUGGUGAUAUGUAUUGACCUAUAUUUAGAUGUUUUUAUUUGCUUAUAAGGAUGUUGGAUGUACAAUUUCAAGCUGUGUAAACUAGUCUCUAUAGCUGCUUUUCCUCCCAAAAGAGACUUAUGUGGACAUAUUGCAAAUUGUUCUUACUGUAAUAUUGUAGGGACGUAGGAGCUGAAGUCCUACGCUCAGGGUGAAGUGCUGGUAACCUCUCCCCUGUAGUUUCAGGAGUUGCUGCCACGGGCAGUGAUGCUUCCUUGGUUUACAUUAUUGAUGGACAGGGUCAUCUCCUACUACUUGGAAAUAGUUCUCUGUGUUUUCUUUAUGUGAACAAUCUGUGGAUUUAAUACUCUGUAAAACAUUCAUGUGGAACCCA